RNAcentral lists this ribosomal RNA (382 nucleotides) under uncultured eukaryote. RNAcentral's name for it is "SSU rRNA". It matches the Rfam family "Eukaryotic small subunit ribosomal RNA", at positions 587 to 972 of the family's 1831-position model. The record is from RNAcentral.
AGCUCCAAUAGCGUAUAUUAAAGUUGUUGCAGUUAAAUAGCUCGUAGUUGAAUUUUGGGCUGGGCUGGGUGGUCUCGCCGCAAGGUGUGCACUGCUCCGGUCUGGUCUUUCCUUCUGGGUAACUUUUGUGCUCUUAAGUGGGUGCAUUAGGGAUCCAGGACUUUUACUUUGAAAAAAUUAGAGUGUUUAAAGCGGGCAUUUGCUUGAAUACAUUAGCAUGGAAUAAUAGAAUAGGACUUUGGUCUUUAUUUUGUUGGUUUUCAGGACCGAAGUAAUGAUUAAUAGGGACAGUUGGGGGCAUUAGUAUUUAAUUGUCAGAGGUGAAAUUCUUGGAUUUAUGAAAGACUAACUUCUGCGAAAGCAUUUGCCAAGGAUGUUUUCA